CACGUAGGGUCCGAGCGUUGUCCGGAAUUACUGGGCGUAAAGCGUGCGCAGGCGGUUGGGUAAGUCGCUGGUGAAAGCCCCACGCUCAACGUGGGAAUGGCCAACGAGACGGCCCGACUGGAGGCAGGGAGAGGCCGGUGGAAUUCCGGGUGUAGUGGUGAAAUGCGUAGAGAUCCGGAGGAACACCAGAGGCGAAGGCGGCCGGCUGGACCUGACCUGACGCUGAGGCACGAAGGCGUGGGGAGCGAACGGG
This 253-nucleotide ribosomal RNA is filed under the name uncultured bacterium. Its description in RNAcentral is "partial 16S ribosomal RNA". It matches the Rfam family "Bacterial small subunit ribosomal RNA", at positions 524 to 776 of the family's 1533-position model. The record is from RNAcentral.